Molecule: ribosomal RNA, 252 nt
Filed under: uncultured bacterium
Lineage: Bacteria
Description: partial 16S ribosomal RNA
Rfam family: Bacterial small subunit ribosomal RNA
Source: RNAcentral
UACGUAGGUCCCGAGCGUUGUCCGGAUUUAUUGGGCGUAAGGCGAGCGCAGGUGGUUUAUUAAGUCUGGUGUAAAGGGCAGUGGCUCAACCAUUGUAUGCAUUGGAAACUGGUAGACUUGAGUGCAGGAGAGGAGAGUGGAAUUCCAUGUGUAGCGGUGAAAUGCGUAGAUAUAUGGAGGAACACCGGUGGCGAAAGCGGCUCUCUGGCCUGUAACUGACACUGAGGCUCGAAAGCGUGGGGAGCAAACAGG